Molecule: ribosomal RNA, 469 nt
Filed under: uncultured bacterium
Lineage: Bacteria
Description: bacterial SSU rRNA
Rfam family: Bacterial small subunit ribosomal RNA
Source: RNAcentral
UUCGCAAUGCCCGAAAGGGUGACGAAGCGACGCCGCGUGGGUGAAGAAGGCCUUCGGGUUGUAAAGCCCUGUCAGGAGUUAUGAAAUGUAAGUGCGCUAAUAUCGUGCUUAUUUGACAAAGGCUCCAAAGGAAGCCACGGCUAACUCUGUGCCAGCAGCCGCGGUAAUACAGAGGUGGCGAGCGUUGUUCGGAAUUAUUGGGCGUAAAGAGCACGUAGGUGGGUUUGCAAGUCAGAUGUGAAAGCCUUCUGUUCAACGGGAGAAUUGCAUCUGAAACUGCCAAUCUUGAGUAUAGGAGGGGAGAAUGGAACUUCUGGUGGAGCGGUGAAAUGCGUAGAUAUCAGAAGGAACGCCGGCGGCGAAAGCGAUUCUCUGGCCUAUUACUGACACUCAGUGUGCGAAAGCUAGGGGAGCAAACGGGAUUAGAUACCCCGGUAGUCCUAGCCGUAAACGAUGGGCACUAAGUAGA